AGCGAACGCUGGCGGCAGGCCUAACACAUGCAAGUCGAACGGACCCUUCGGGGUUAGUGGCGGACGGGUGAGUAACACGUGGGAACGUGCCUUUAGGUUCGGAAUAGCUCCUGGAACCGGGUGGUAAUGCCGAAUGUGCCCUUCGGGGGAAAGAUUUAUCGCCUUUAGAGCGGCCCGCGUCUGAUUAGCUUGUUGGUGAG
Molecule: ribosomal RNA, 200 nt
Filed under: uncultured bacterium
Lineage: Bacteria
Description: partial 16S ribosomal RNA
Rfam family: Bacterial small subunit ribosomal RNA
Source: RNAcentral